This 263-nucleotide ribosomal RNA is filed under the name Escherichia coli. RNAcentral describes it as "partial 23S ribosomal RNA". It matches the Rfam family "Bacterial large subunit ribosomal RNA", at positions 1 to 264 of the family's 2925-position model. The record is from RNAcentral. Lineage: Bacteria; Pseudomonadati; Pseudomonadota; Gammaproteobacteria; Enterobacterales; Enterobacteriaceae.
GGUUAAGCGACUAAGCGUACACGGUGGAUGCCCUGGCAGUCAGAGGCGAUGAAGGACGUGCUAAUCUGCGAUAAGCGUCGGUAAGGUGAUAUGAACUGUUAUAACCGGCGAUUUCCGAAUGGGGAAACCCAGUGUGAUUCGUCACACUAUCAUUAACUGAAUCCAUAGGUUAAUGAGGCGAACCGGGGGAACUGAAACAUCUAAGUACCCCGAGGAAAAGAAAUCAACCGAGAUUCCCCCAGUAGCGGCGAGCGAACGGGGAG